This 497-nucleotide ribosomal RNA is filed under the name uncultured bacterium. RNAcentral's name for it is "partial 16S ribosomal RNA". It matches the Rfam family "Bacterial small subunit ribosomal RNA", at positions 28 to 507 of the family's 1533-position model. The record is from RNAcentral.
GAUGAACGCUGGCGGCGUGCCUAAUACAUGCAAGUCGAGCGAACGGACGAGAAGCUUGCUUCUCUGAUGUUAGCGGCGGACGGGUGAGUAACACGUGGAUAACCUACCUAUAAGACUGGGAUAACUUCGGGAAACCGGAGCUAAUACCGGAUAAUAUUUUGAACCGCAGGGUUCAAAAGUGAAAGACGGUCUUGCUGUCACUUAUAGAUGGAUCCGCGCUGCAUUAGCUAGUUGGUAAGGUAACGGCUUACCAAGGCAACGAUGCAUAGCCGACCUGAGAGGGUGAUCGGCCACACUGGAACUGAGACACGGUCCAGACUCCUACGGGAGGCAGCAGUAGGGAAUCUUCCGCAAUGGGCGAAAGCCUGACGGAGCAACGCCGCGUGAGUGAUGAAGGUCUUCGGAUCGUAAAACUCUUUUAUUAGGGAAGAACAUAUGUGUAAUUAACUGUGCACAUCUUGACGGUACCUAAUCAGAAAGCCACGGCUAACUACGUG